This 392-nucleotide ribosomal RNA is filed under the name uncultured bacterium. Its description in RNAcentral is "partial 16S ribosomal RNA". It matches the Rfam family "Bacterial small subunit ribosomal RNA", at positions 523 to 918 of the family's 1533-position model. The record is from RNAcentral.
AUACGGAAGGUCCGGGCGUUAUCCGGAUUUAUUGGGUUUAAAGGGAGCGCAGGCGGAGAUGCAAGCGUGACGUCAAAUUUCGGGGCUCAACCCCGUCUCGCGUCGCGAACUGCGUCCCUUGGUUGCGGGAAGGGGAGGCGGAACUCGUGGUGUAGCGGUGAAAUGCAUAGAUAUCACGAAGAACUCCGAUCGCGAAGGCAGCCUUCCGGCCCGUCAACGACGCUCAUGCUCGAAGGUGCGGGUAUCAAACAGGAUUAGAUACCCUGGUAGUCCACGCAGUAAACGAUGAUGACUAACCGUCGGCGAUACACAGUCGGUGGCCAAGCGAAAGCGAUAAGUCAUCCACCUGGGGAGUACGUUCGCAAGAAUGAAACUCAAAGGAAUUGACGGGG